GCCGCUAUGGUGAAAUGGUAGAUGGCUCUUAUAAACAUCUGACGCUGCUCUUAGGAAGCAGUGCGAGAGCAUCUCGGUUCGAGUCCGAGUAGCGGCA
Molecule: transfer RNA, 97 nt
Filed under: Parakeelya eremaea
Lineage: Eukaryota; Viridiplantae; Streptophyta; Magnoliopsida; Caryophyllales; Montiaceae
Description: Calandrinia eremaea tRNA-Leu
Rfam family: tRNA
About the family: Transfer RNA (tRNA) molecules are approximately 80 nucleotides in length. Their secondary structure includes four short double-helical elements and three loops (D, anti-codon, and T loops).
Source: RNAcentral